AGCAGGUCUCAAGUGAGGAAUCUGCAGAUAUCAAAAGGCAACGUAUCAGAAUCAAAACUAUAAUCACAAAUAAAAAAGAAAAGAAAAGACAAGACAAGAAAAAAAGCUUCCAAAUAUCAUAGAGUAUACUAAACUCCACCCCAGACUUAAAGAUUCAAAUAUAAAAUACUAAGCCCAAAGAUUUCCAUCUUCUAGCAUUCUAAAUUAAUUUGGCUUCUUCACAAGAAGAUCCAACAAUUUAGAUUUACGUGCAUCUUUGUACAAAAUCAACCAAACAGUCCAAAAUACUCAAAUCCCUUAAAACACCAGACUUGAGGUUGUCCACCAUACAAUGGCAAGCAUAACAAAGGUGCAAAUCCACUGGCCUUUAAUUGCAGCUUUAAUUUUUUGUGGUUGGAGAAUUUGGUUCAUAUAACAAUCUUGCAACAAUAGUUAAAAGUCCCUAGGCCAAUAACUUCUAAAGAUUGCCUCCUCCCACAAAGCAAUCUCGCAUUAUCUCUCUUUAAUAAAACAAAAAAGUUAUUUCCCAAAACUGUUUGACAUUAUUUGGGAUGUAAGUCCGUAAUGCCUGCUAAUAAUACUAGAAGAAAGGCAUGCAAUUCAAAACAAACGAGUAGCGUGCUUUGAUAUUCUAAUAUCACCCUAUAACACAUAAUAUCACUUAGGUAACUGCAUUUUGAUACUGCAAUGUUAAUAUUAGCAUCCAAAAUCCCAUUUGCUAUUCAUCAUAUUUCAUUUCCUUGUAAUGUUUAAAGAUAACACACAAAUCUGAUAUAAUCAGUAUUUAAUUUUUUUCCCCCUGAUAACACUCCAGAAAAGAAGUUGAUUGAUUAGGGAACAUUAAGUUGAUCAUUUGGUACACAUUGCAGGAUGCAAAAAUGAAUUCAAUACCCAUAGCUCAGUCCUGAUCUUUUUCAAAAUUCAAAUACAUAUAAGCCCAAACGAUAUUAGCACCUGUUUACUCUUUAUCAGGCAAAGUUUAAACAAGCAUUGAUGACAUUCUAAAUACCCUCAAUUUCUACGCCCAAAAGAAAAGUAUAGCAUAACAUACCCCUUGAAUCCUCUUGCCAG
Molecule: unclassified non-coding RNA, 1071 nt
Filed under: Hevea brasiliensis (rubber tree)
Lineage: Eukaryota; Viridiplantae; Streptophyta; Magnoliopsida; Malpighiales; Euphorbiaceae
Source: RNAcentral